This 406-nucleotide ribosomal RNA is filed under the name uncultured bacterium. RNAcentral's name for it is "partial 16S ribosomal RNA". It matches the Rfam family "Bacterial small subunit ribosomal RNA", at positions 30 to 526 of the family's 1533-position model. The record is from RNAcentral.
AUUGAACGCUGGCGGCAGGCCUAACACAUGCAAGUCGAGCGAGCGGCGGACGGGUGAGUAAUGUAUGGGAAUCUGGCCUAUGGAGGGGGAUAACUACUGGAAACUGUGGCUAAUACCGCAUACUAUCGGAUGAACCCAAGUGGGAUUAGGUAGUUGGUGGGGUAAAGGCUCACCAAGCCGACGAUCUCUAGCUGGUCUGAGAGGAUGACCAGCCACACUGGGACUGAGACACGGCCCAGACUCCUACGGGAGGCAGCAGUGGGGAAUAUUGCGCAAUGGGCGCAAGCCUGAUGCAGCCAUGCCGCGUGUAUGAAGAAGGCCUUAGGGUUGUAAAGUACUUUCAGCGGCGAGGCGUUACCCGCAGAAGAAGCACCGGCUAACUCCGUGCCAGCAGCCGCGGUAAUAC